AACUAUGUGCCAGCAGCUGCGGUAAUACAUAGGUCGCGAGCGUUAUUCGGAUUUAUUGGGCGUAAAGCAAGCGCAGGCGGAUGGAUAAGUUCUGUGUGAAAAGCAGCUGCUCAACAGCUGUUUGCGCCGAAUACUAUACAUCUAGAAUACGGUAGGAAGUUUUGGAAUUGAAUAUGGAGCGGUGGAAUGUGUAGAUAUAUUCAAGAACACCAGAGGCGAAGGCGAAAACUUAGGCCGCUAUUGACGCUUAGGCUUGAAAGUGUGGGGAGCAAAUGGGAUUAGAUACCCCAGUAGUCCACACCGUAAACGAUGGGUAUUAAAUGUUGGGGCUGGUGCCUCAGCGUUGUAGCUUACGUGUUAAAUACCCCGCCUGGGUAGUACAUAUGCAAAUAUGAAACUCAAAGGAAUUGACGGGGACCUGAACAAGUGGUGGAACAUGUUGCUUAAUUCGAUAAUACACGAAAAACCUUACCAAGAUUUGACAUCCCUCGCGAAGCUUUAGAGAUAAAGUGAAGGUUAUCGAGGUGACAGGUGGUGCAUGGUUGUCGUCAGCUCGUGUCAUGAGAUGUUGGGUUAAGUCCCGCAACGAGCGCAACCCUACUCUCUAGUUGUUUGUUUAGAGAGACUGAACAGUAAUGUAUAGGAAGGUCGGGAUCACGUCAAAUCAUCAUGCCCCUUAUGUCUUGGGCCGCAAACGUGUUACAAUGGCGAGCACAGCGUGUCGCAAAUCAGCGAUGGUAAGCUAAUCACUAAAAACUCGUCUCAGUCCGGAUAAAAGGCUGCAAUUCGCCUUUUUGAAGUUGGAAUCACUAGUAAUCCCGUGUCAGCUAUAUCGGGGUGAAUACGUUCCCCAGGUCUUGUAC
This 863-nucleotide ribosomal RNA is filed under the name uncultured Mycoplasma sp. Its description in RNAcentral is "bacterial SSU rRNA". It matches the Rfam family "Bacterial small subunit ribosomal RNA", at positions 499 to 1386 of the family's 1533-position model. Lineage: Bacteria; Bacillati; Mycoplasmatota; Mollicutes; Mycoplasmatales; Mycoplasmataceae. The record is from RNAcentral.